This 395-nucleotide ribosomal RNA is filed under the name uncultured bacterium. Its description in RNAcentral is "partial 16S ribosomal RNA". It matches the Rfam family "Bacterial small subunit ribosomal RNA", at positions 338 to 730 of the family's 1533-position model. The record is from RNAcentral.
CCUACGGGUGGCAGCAGUGAGGAAUAUUGGUCAAUGGUCGGAAGUCUGAACCAGCCAAGCCGCGUGAGGGAAGAAGGCACAGUGUAUUGUAAACCGCUUUUGUCAGAGUAUAAAGCUGGGUAAGCGUACUCGGAUGAGCGUACCUUAAGAAUAAGCAUCGGCUAACUCCGUGCCGGCAGCCGCGGUAAUACGGAGGAUGCGAGCGUUAUCCGGAGUUAGUGGGUUUAAAGGGUGCGUAGGCGGAUUGAUAAGUUAUCAGUGAAAGGUCCGAGCUUAAACCCGGAACCGCCGUUUAAACUGGUGAUCUAGAGUGUAGAUGAGGUAGGCGGAAUGGACGGUGUAGCGGUGAAAUGCUUAGAUAUCAUACAGAACACCGAUUGCGAAGGCAGCAUACC